This 163-nucleotide small nuclear RNA is filed under the name Carlito syrichta (Philippine tarsier). RNAcentral describes it as "U1 spliceosomal RNA (ENSTSYG00000036577.1)". It matches the Rfam family "U1 spliceosomal RNA". Rfam says of the family: U1 is a small nuclear RNA (snRNA) component of the spliceosome (involved in pre-mRNA splicing). The record is from Rfam by way of RNAcentral. Lineage: Eukaryota; Metazoa; Chordata; Mammalia; Primates; Tarsiidae.
AUACUUACCUGGCAGGGGUGAUACCAUGAUCAUGAAGGUGGUUUUCAGGGCAAGCCUUAUCGAUUACACUCCAGAUGUGCUUAUCUCUGUGAUUUCCCCAAAUAUCAGAAACUCAACUGUCUAAUUUGUGGUAGUGAGGGACUGAAUUCAUGCUGUUUCCUUU